AAACCAAUCCAGCUUGCUGGGUCUUGGGCUUUUCGCCUCUGGGCGGGCCUCAAAAUCAGUGGCGGUGCUGCCAGGCUCUAAGCGUAGUAAUUCUUCUCGCUACAGAGUCCUGGUGGAGGCUUGCCAAUAACCCUAAAUCUUUCAAA
RNAcentral lists this unclassified non-coding RNA (146 nucleotides) under uncultured Hymenoscyphus. RNAcentral describes it as "sequence contains ITS2". Lineage: Eukaryota; Fungi; Ascomycota; Leotiomycetes; Helotiales; Helotiaceae. The record is from RNAcentral.